AAUGAACGCUGGCGGCAUGCCUAACACAUGCAAGUCGAACGAAGGCUUCGGCCUUAGUGGCGCACGGGUGUGUAACGCGUGGGAAUCUGCCCUUGGGUUCGGAAUAACAGUUAGAAAUGACUGCUAAUACCGGAUGAUGUCGUAAGACCAAAGAUUUAUCGCCCAAGGAUGAGCCCGCGUAGGAUUAGCUAGUUGGUGGGGUAAAGGCCUACCAAGGCGACGAUCCUUAGCUGGUCUGAGAGGAUGAUCAGCCACACUGGGACUGAGACACGGCCCAGACUCCUACGGGAGGCAGCAGUGGGGAAUAGUGGACAAUGGGCGAAAGCCUGAUCCAGCAAUGCCGCGUGAGUGAUGAAGGCCUUAGGGUUGUAAAGCUCUUUUACCCGGGAUGAUAAUGACAGUACCGGGAGAAUAAGCUCCGGCUAACUUCGUG
RNAcentral lists this ribosomal RNA (433 nucleotides) under uncultured bacterium. Its description in RNAcentral is "partial 16S ribosomal RNA". It matches the Rfam family "Bacterial small subunit ribosomal RNA", at positions 29 to 507 of the family's 1533-position model. The record is from RNAcentral.